UACGUAGGGUGCGAGCGUUGUCCGGAAUUAUUGGGCGUAAAGAGCUUGUAGGCGGUUUGUCGCGUCUGCCGUAAAAGCCCAGGGCUUAACCCUGGGUCUGCGGUGGGUACGGGCAGACUAGAGUGUGGUAGGGGAGACUGGAAUUCCUGGUGUAGCGGUGAAAUGCGCAGAUAUCAGGAGGAACACCGAUGGCGAAGGCAGGUCUCUGGGCCACUACUGACGCUGAGAAGCGAAAGCAUGGGGAGCAAACAGG
This 253-nucleotide ribosomal RNA is filed under the name uncultured bacterium. RNAcentral describes it as "partial 16S ribosomal RNA". It matches the Rfam family "Bacterial small subunit ribosomal RNA", at positions 524 to 776 of the family's 1533-position model. The record is from RNAcentral.